GUCCAGAGAUGGGAAUCGAACCCACAGUGUUCCGCUUACCGGGCAGAUGCCAUGUCCACUAGGCUACCCUGGA
Cordylochernes scorpioides is the source of this 73-nucleotide non-coding RNA. Lineage: Eukaryota; Metazoa; Arthropoda; Arachnida; Pseudoscorpiones; Chernetidae. The record is from the annotation of a GenBank genome assembly.